RNAcentral lists this small RNA (186 nucleotides) under Idiomarina sp. RNAcentral's name for it is "Manganese sequence". It matches the Rfam family "Manganese Mn2+ riboswitch aptamer (yybP-ykoY)". Rfam says of the family: This RNA was originally discovered in E. coli during a large scale screen and was named SraF. The family was later found to exist upstream of related families of protein genes in many bacteria, including the the yybP and ykoK genes in B. subtilis. Lineage: Bacteria; Pseudomonadati; Pseudomonadota; Gammaproteobacteria; Alteromonadales; Idiomarinaceae. The record is from RNAcentral.
CGCGUCGUCUUAGGGGAGUAGUCGACCUGCAGCUUGAUGCGCAGGAGAAUACGUCAACAUAAUUGAGCCCUCAAUGGCUCAUGGUGUAUUCGUUUCGGGCCACCGAAACUGGCAAGACCUGAGGUAAAGAGCAACCGCUAACUGGCGGGGGUUGCUGUUUGCCUUUGGUACAGGUCCCGCCGGAGU